CCUACGGGGGCUGCAGUGGGGAAUAUUGGACAAUGGGCGAAAGCCUGAUCCAGCCAUGCCGCGUGUGUGAAGAAGGCCUUCGGGUUGUAAAGCACUUUCAGUGGGGAAGAAAGCCUUGGGGCUAAUACCCUCGAGGAAGGACAUCACCCACAGAAGAAGCACCGGCUAACUCCGUGCCAGCAGCCGCGGUAAUACGGAGGGUGCGAGCGUUAAUCGGAAUUACUUGGCGUAAAGCGCGCGUAGGCGGUCUGAUAAGCCGGUUGUGAAAGCCCCGGGCUCAACCUGGGAACGGCAUCCGGAACUGUCAGGCUAGAGUGCAGGAGAGGAAGGUAGAAUUCCCGGUGUAGCGGUGAAAUGCGUAGAGAUCGGGAGGAAUACCAGUGGCGAAGGCGGCCUUCUGGACUGACACUGACGCUGAGGUGCGAAAGCGUGGGUAGCAAACAGGAUUAGAUACCCGAGUAGUC
This 464-nucleotide ribosomal RNA is filed under the name Vreelandella stevensii. Its description in RNAcentral is "partial 16S ribosomal RNA". It matches the Rfam family "Bacterial small subunit ribosomal RNA", at positions 338 to 795 of the family's 1533-position model. Lineage: Bacteria; Pseudomonadati; Pseudomonadota; Gammaproteobacteria; Oceanospirillales; Halomonadaceae. The record is from RNAcentral.